CAUCAAGUGAUCUUUCACAUCCUGUGUCAAUCAUAUUGAAUUGCAAGGAAAACUAGGAGCCUCCUGGAAGGGUUUGACGGCUUUGCUGUGGAAAGAAUCAGGAAUGUGAGACUUGGGUGAAGAAUUUCAAUUAAAAGGAAGCCAGGAAGACCUUUGAGACAAGCAGAGAAUCCUACACUUAGAAGCUGCAGAUGGAUGAUUUGGUACAACAAAUGAACCAUUCAGAAGGGAAGAGAUGGGCUUCUCCUUAAACAUUGUUCAUAUAUCUACUGCUUGGUCUUGGAAGCACGCCUGUCAUCCUGCUGAGGAACGGGAAGGCAAUUUCAGACAACGGAAGCAGCAUGGGGAAAGAGAUGGGACAUGAAUGCAUCGGCAUGUGGGAGGGUUGCUGGGAAAAUGGAAAGCUCGCCAUAGCUGGGCGAAGCCAGGAACCGCUCAGGAUAUGCAGCUGGAGGCCGUGGUGAACAUACUGCAAAGGCCUUCUACCGGGAGGUGGCACCGGGCCUGCCCCGCUGCUCCUGUCACAGCAGCUGGCCCCCGUUGGGCACCGCAACCCCAAUAGAAGUUAUGAGGGACUGAAGACCCUAGAGAAAGUCCAGUCCACCGUACGUGCUGCCUCAGGGGCUGCGUGAAAUUAACAGCUGGGAAAUGAUGUCAGAGCUGCCAUCGGUUCUAUAUCACCGCUCUAGGGCAAUAUAUAAGAAGAAUGUGGGUCUUGCUACAGGCAUGCUUAGGCCAUAGGCAGGAGACCUGUCUUUUGGGACGACGGGUCCUGCUGGAGCACGGCCUGGUCAGUGCCUGAGCUAUCUGUUGUUUACAGGCACUGGCUCCUCACAAACAAAUCAACUAAGUGAACCGAGUGGGUGAUAAAGCAGAGCAGAGAACUGCAUUGUCCUCAGAGUCAUAAAAACUCAUCUCUUUUACAACUGCUGAGUGCUUUGCCAAUAUCAUGCCAAGGUGAGAGUGGCGGGGGGAAGGGAAAGAUAUUGAAAAGGAAAAUAAAUGGGCCAGGUAAACAGCGCUGCCGCCGCUGCUGCAGCCGGGUUGUCAUGGCGACCGGGGUGAAGAAGAGGAGGAGGAGGAGGCGGGAUGCGGGCUGAUCGAUAGGCCUGCGCUGGCUCAUCUGGCUUCCAUCCACGUGCAGCUACAGAGGGGGAGAAAAUCAAAGAGCCACACACGGGGCAGACAGGGCCGCGGAUUCGAUACCCGGCAGCAGCCCGGUCGAUAGCUUGUUGGAAGGCGGGUAAUUGACUCCCGUUCUGCCAGCAGAAAGCGACGCGGAGACAGAGGGAAAACACAGAGAACAAAGAGCGCAGAGGAAGAUCUGCUUCUGCAAGAGCAGCCAGUGGGCAGGCGAGACUGAGAUUCUGGGCUUUGCAAAGACCUGCUAGAAUUCAUAGAAAUCAGGACAACGCUUGGGAGGGUCGCUGCCACUCCCAAAAUCAAAAGCAAAUCUAGGAAUUGUGACAGUGGCUUAAUUCAGCCCCAGGGGUGACCUGUGAGUACUCAGCACGCCCAGCAGAAGGUCUGUUCCAGUGCCAGAACACACAGCCGCCUCAUCCUGGGAGUCCUCCUUUACAACAAAACGCGCACACAGCCUCCAGUCACCGACUUGACCUUAGAGCACCUUCAACCUGAGAACCCAGGCCAAUGCCUAUCAGCAAUAUAAUUUAAAUCCUAAACUCUGGUGCUGCAAUGAUGCAUUGUUUUAUGAUUAAUGAAUGCCAUUAAACCAGAAAGCCUCUUCAUCCAGCAGUGAAAACUCAGGAGAAAUACCAGAGUCAGCCACAGUCAAGGGGGCUGAACCAAGAAGAGAAAUAAGUGCUUGUGGUUUAAGAAAUCUGACUUUCAGUCUCCUUUCAAGAUUGCUCCAUCCUAAAUUGUUAAUCCACAUUGAUCUGCUUUCAGAAAGUUCGCAGGGCUGCCUUCUGCCUGUGCAGCUCCCCAAGCAGGAGAAGCCAAGCAGGGACAGGGCACCACUGGAGUCUCUGGUCCUCAACACUGGUGCUAACCUGCCUCCUGUUCCUGGCAGGAAAGCAAAGCCUGGACGUUUUGCUGACACUGCCUCAGGUUCAUUUAGAUACAACUGAUCAAACAGACAGGUUAAUAUAAGGAAGGGGAAGGAAGCAUGCAGCCAGCGGUAACUCCAGCUUAGCCACGUAUUAGUGUGCUCUACUGUCGAUGUAAUCCCACACAUGCAAGGCUUUGUGCUGAGCUAAGCAAAGUUAGCUGCUUGUAAUCAAAGUGCACUUCAGUUAGCUCACCUGCAGUGAAUGCUGGUGAUUAUUUGGGGCUUUACAGCGCAGAUAACCUCAUCAGUGGUCACAGAUGGUUGAGUCGAGACUAUGCUUGAAUAUAGACAAGAACUGCUAUAUAGGCUUUGGGGGCAUAGCAGAGCAGAAAGUGAAAAAUGUGCUGAUUAAACACUUAGA
Long non-coding RNA from Cygnus olor (mute swan), 2432 nucleotides. RefSeq lists it as uncharacterized. The record is from RefSeq and is a predicted model, not a curated record. Lineage: Eukaryota; Metazoa; Chordata; Aves; Anseriformes; Anatidae. The transcript has 3 exons.